This 723-nucleotide ribosomal RNA is filed under the name Pelistega sp. Its description in RNAcentral is "bacterial SSU rRNA". It matches the Rfam family "Bacterial small subunit ribosomal RNA", at positions 17 to 729 of the family's 1533-position model. The record is from RNAcentral. Lineage: Bacteria; Pseudomonadati; Pseudomonadota; Betaproteobacteria; Burkholderiales; Alcaligenaceae.
UCAUGGCUCAGAUUGAACGCUAGCGGGAUGCCUUACACAUGCAAGUCGAACGGCAGCAACAGAGAGCUUGCUCUCUGGUUGGCGAGUGGCGAACGGGUGAGUAAUGUAUCGGAACGUGCCCAGUAAUGGGGGAUAACUACGCGAAAGCGUGGCUAAUACCGCAUACGCCCUACGGGGGAAAGGGGGGGAUCUUAGGACCUCUCGUUAUUGGAGCGGCCGAUAUCGGAUUAGCUAGUUGGUGGGGUAAUGGCCUACCAAGGCCGCGAUCCGUAGCUGGUUUGAGAGGACGACCAGCCACACUGGGACUGAGACACGGCCCAGACUCCUACGGGAGGCAGCAGUGGGGAAUUUUGGACAAUGGGGGGAACCCUGAUCCAGCCAUCCCGCGUGUGCGAUGAAGGCCUUCGGGUUGUAAAGCACUUUUGUCAGGGAAGAAAAGUUACUUACUAAUACUAGGUGACGCUGACGGUACCUGAAGAAUAAGCACCGGCUAACUACGUGCCAGCAGCCGCGGUAAUACGUAGGGUGCAAGCGUUAAUCGGAAUUACUGGGCGUAAAGCGUGCGCAGGCGGUUUGGAAAGAAGGAUGUGAAAUCCCAGGGCUCAACCUUGGAACUGCAUUCUUAACUGUCAAACUAGAGUAUGUCAGAGGGGGGUAGAAUUCCACGUGUAGCAGUGAAAUGCGUAGAGAUGUGGAGGAAUACCGAUGGCGAAGGCAGCCCCC